This 324-nucleotide ribosomal RNA is filed under the name uncultured eukaryote. RNAcentral's name for it is "partial 18S ribosomal RNA". It matches the Rfam family "Eukaryotic small subunit ribosomal RNA", at positions 1470 to 1796 of the family's 1831-position model. The record is from RNAcentral.
CCCUUAGAUGUUCUGGGCUGCACGCGCGCUACACUGAAGCUAUCAACACGUUUUCCCUCCCUGAGAAGGGCGGGUAACCUUUUGAAUCAGCUUCGUGGUAGGGAUCGGGGCUUGCUAUUGUUCCCCGUGAACCAGGAAUUCCUAGUAGACGCGAGUCAUAAGCUCGCAUCGAUUAAGUCCCUGCCCUUUGUACACACCGCCCGUCGCUACUACCGAUUGAACGUUUUAGUGAGGCAUUUGGACCGACGCAUCUCAGUUUAACCGCUGGUUUGUGUUGGAAAGACUUCCAAACUUGAGCGUUUAGAGGAAGUAAAAGUCGUAACA